CAGGGGUUGGGAAACUAGCUUCCAUGGCCAAACCUAGCCCACCGUCUGUUUUGUUUCCUGUUCUUCCCAACCUGCGCUAUGGACUUCAUCAGAUUUCAGCAUCAGAGAGAAUAUGGAAGGACAUCGACCCUAACUUCAUCCAGUGAGGAUUUCCACACACCAUACACUCUCUGAGAGUUCUCUUGGCUUUGUGUGCACACCUCCAGUGGCAGGGAGCUCGCUAUGUCAUGAGGCAGCCUGCUCCCUUGUGGCUAUCACUGAACCAACUAUUAAGCCUUCUUUUAUAAACAGUCCCUGACUUACUGUUAGACUUACAACUUUUUGAUUUUACAGUGGUGCAGAAGCAAUAUGCAUUCCAUAGAAACUGUAUUUCAAAUUUUGAAUUUUGAUCUUUUCCAGGCUAGCAACAUAUGAAGACCAACCUUUUAUUUCUAAAAUUGGCUUCGUGUUAGAUGCUUUUGCCCAACUAUAGGUUAAUGUAAAUGUUCUCAGAAUAUUUAAGGAAGGCUAGGCUAAACUGUGAUCUUUGGGAGCUUAGAUAUGUUAAGUGCAUUUUCAACUUACAAUAUUUUCAACUUACGAUGAGUUUAUUGGGAUGAAGCCCGUUGUAAGUAAAGGAGCAUCUGCAUUAAGCUAAAAUCCAUGUCUAUAUCUUCCUCAGUAAUAUCAAGUUUGUUCCUUGGAGCCAGAGAAUAAACUGAAUCCUUU
Molecule: long non-coding RNA, 708 nt
Filed under: Pan troglodytes (chimpanzee)
Lineage: Eukaryota; Metazoa; Chordata; Mammalia; Primates; Hominidae
Description: long non-coding RNA NONPTRT017449
Source: RNAcentral